AUCUACCAUAGAGGUCUACCCUAGAGGCUCAGUAUGACUUGACCAUGCAUAAACCAAGUUUCAGCAGAGCCUAGUUACAUCUUGGGCUUCUGCAAACUGAGAUUGUCAAUGGCAUGUUCCUGAAGCUCACCCUUAAUUGGAUCCUGAAAAUAUUUAUUAUUGAUCAGAUGCUGUCAGGUUUUUUUUUUUUUUUUUUUUUUAAGGUCCCUAAUUGAUAAACCUUUGGUUGAUUGCUGUGGUUGAAGAAAAAUGUCUACCUUUCCUCAAGUACAAAGUUUGGAAUUACAUUUGGAAAAUGAUUGGAAAAUUGUUGUGAGCCUGAGGGUGUGGCAACACGAGAAAUCAAUAGAAAACAGAAUCUUUGAAGUUGACAGCAUCUCUGAUGAAAUCUUCAAGGUAUCAGCCACCUGCCAUGGUGUGGACGCCUGUCAGCAAGCCACGGCCCUACACAUCCACGCUACAUCUGAGCAUCCUCCAGCCUGCCCGGAAGGCGAUAUUCAGAAUCUCCGUGGAGAACCACUUCAGGGAUUGACACCUUGAAGUAAGAUCCACUUUAAAUACGAGAUGGAGGCCGAAAUUGAAUUGCUGCUGACUGUUGUCCCUUGUUAUGGCCUGUGGAGAUAUGACAAUUGAGGAAGAACUUAGAGAAAUGCCAAGUAGUAGAGCAUGAAGGAGUGGGUGUGACCCACUGCCUUGGAUAUUUUAUGGCUGAUAGCAUUUGGCAAGAAAAAAUCUGCAGCCUCUAUAGUACUCUUGCAAAUAGAUUUCAACAUCAACCAUGCCCCUACCCUCAUCCCUAUUUGAUUUGCCCUGUAAGGUAUAUAUUUGCCAAAAUCUGCUCUUCUAAUUUUCAGUUACUUCACUGGACCCCUUGUAAACACCUAAAUAUUGAAAUAAAUAACACUUGAAAAGUGCUUUGUUUAAUUAA
Molecule: long non-coding RNA, 928 nt
Filed under: Bos indicus x Bos taurus (hybrid cattle)
Lineage: Eukaryota; Metazoa; Chordata; Mammalia; Artiodactyla; Bovidae
Description: lncRNA (ENSBIXG00000022108.1)
Source: RNAcentral